Molecule: non-coding RNA, 87 nt
Organism: Acanthosepion pharaonis
Lineage: Eukaryota; Metazoa; Mollusca; Cephalopoda; Sepiida; Sepiidae
Source: the annotation of a GenBank genome assembly
GGCCACAUACGAUCACCAAAGUUAAGCAACUUCGAGCCUGGUCAGUACCUAGAUGGGUGACCAAUUGUGAAUACCAGGUGCUGUAAG